UACGUAGGUGACCAGCGUUGUCCGGAUUUACUGGGCGUAAAGAGCGCGCAGGCGGUCGUUCAAGUCGCGUGUGAAAGCCCCUGGCUCAACUGGGGAGGGUCACGCGAUACUGUUCGACUCGAAGGCAGGAGAGGGAAGUGGAAUUCCCGGUGUAGUGGUGAAAUGCGUAGAUAUCGGGAGGAACACCAGUGGCGAAGGCGACUUCCUGGCCUGUUCUUGACGCUGAGGCGCGAAAGCUAGGGUAGCAAACGGG
RNAcentral lists this ribosomal RNA (253 nucleotides) under uncultured bacterium. RNAcentral describes it as "partial 16S ribosomal RNA". It matches the Rfam family "Bacterial small subunit ribosomal RNA", at positions 524 to 776 of the family's 1533-position model. The record is from RNAcentral.